RNAcentral lists this ribosomal RNA (440 nucleotides) under uncultured bacterium. Its description in RNAcentral is "partial 16S ribosomal RNA". It matches the Rfam family "Bacterial small subunit ribosomal RNA", at positions 338 to 795 of the family's 1533-position model. The record is from RNAcentral.
CCUACGGGAGGCAGCAGUGGGGGAUAUUGCACAAUGGGGGAAACCCUGAUGCAGCGACGCCGCGUGGGUGAAGAAGUGCCUCGGCGCGUAAAGCCCUGUCAGCAGGGAAGAAAAUGACGGUACCUGAAGAAUAAGCCCCGGCUAACUACGUGCCAGCAGCCGCGGUAAUACGUAGGGGGCAAGCGUUAUCCGGAUUUACUGGGUGUAAAGGGGGCGCAGACGGCGAUGCAGGCCAGGAGUGAAAGCCCGGGGCCCAACCCCGGGACUGCUCUUGGAACUGCGUGGCUGGAGUGCAGGAGGGGCAGGCGGAAUUCCUGGUGUAGCGGUGAAAUGCGUAGAUAUUAGGAGGAACACCAGUGGCGAAGGCGGCCUACUGGACUGCAACUGACGUUGAGGCCCGAAAGCGUGGGGAGCAAACAGGAUUAGAUACCCCUGUAGUC